GUGCUCAAUUCAGCAUCACGUACACUAAUAUUGGAAAAAUACAGAGAAGAUUAGCAUGCCCCUGCAUAAGGAUGACAGGCAAAUUCCUGAAGCAUUCCAGCAGAUG
Small nuclear RNA from Dipodomys spectabilis (banner-tailed kangaroo rat), 106 nucleotides. NCBI's taxonomy places the organism in Eukaryota, Metazoa, Chordata, Mammalia, Rodentia, Heteromyidae. The record is from RefSeq and is a predicted model, not a curated record.